This 430-nucleotide ribosomal RNA is filed under the name uncultured archaeon. RNAcentral's name for it is "bacterial SSU rRNA". It matches the Rfam family "Archaeal small subunit ribosomal RNA", at positions 474 to 903 of the family's 1478-position model. The record is from RNAcentral.
CACCGGCGGCCCGAGUGGUAACCGUUAUUAUUGGGUCUAAAGGGUCCGUAGCCGGCCAGGUAAGUCCCUUGGGAAAUCUGGCAGCUUAACUGUCAGGCUGCCAGGGGAUACUGCUUGGCUUGGGACCGGGAGAGGUGAGAGGUACCUCAGGGGUAGGGGUGAAAUCUUGUAAUCCUUGAGGGACCACCAGUGGCGAAGGCGUCUCACCAGAACGGGUCCGACGGCAAGGGACGAAAGCUAGGGGCACGAACCGGAUUAGAUACCCGGGUAGUCCUAGCCGUAAACGAUACUCGCUAGGUGUCAGCCACGGUGCGACCGUGGUUGGUGCCGUAGGGAAGCCGUGAAGCGAGCCACCUGGGAAGUACAGCCGCAAGGCUGAAACUUAAAGGAAUUGGCGGGGGAGCACUACAACGGGUGGAGCCUGCGGUUU